UUGACCUCGGAUCAGGUAGGACUACCCGCUGAACUUAAGCAUAUC
This 45-nucleotide ribosomal RNA is filed under the name Graphilbum fragrans. Its description in RNAcentral is "partial 28S ribosomal RNA". Lineage: Eukaryota; Fungi; Ascomycota; Sordariomycetes; Ophiostomatales; Ophiostomataceae. The record is from RNAcentral. RNAcentral also lists the same sequence under 8 other names.